UGUGGGAGCUGGCUUGCCUGCGAUAGCGGUGUUUCAGUCACAUCAAUGUUGUCUGAAAGAUUGCUAUCGCAGGCAAGCCAGCUCCCACA
This 89-nucleotide unclassified non-coding RNA is filed under the name Pseudomonas yamanorum. Lineage: Bacteria; Pseudomonadati; Pseudomonadota; Gammaproteobacteria; Pseudomonadales; Pseudomonadaceae. The record is from RNAcentral.